CUUGAAGAGGCUUUUGGGGCUCCCGCCCCACCUUCUCUCUUUUUAACUUCCUGGUCACCAUGAGGUGACAGCUAUCUAAGCUUGGUGCUCCUGCAUCUACCGAUACGUGGAUACCCCUACAGAUAAACACAGAUAUGAUAAUUCUGUGAAGAAAAUACUGCUUUCCUGCACUGAACUGAAUGACAAUAACCAUGGUUUUAAAUUUCAACUACCUGACACACCCUUCCAGCAAGGAGCUAGUGCUGCUGAAAUGUGUGCUGUUUUAUACCGUUUGCAGACACAAGAAAGCCCUGGCUGUGUGACAGGCUCCUCAGGAGGCACAGCGUCAGCCAGCACCAGAUCUUGGAAAUCCGAGCUUCCACAACUGAAGGUGAUGUUGCAUCCACUCCCAUAUUGAUGCUGACCUUGGCCAUGUGACUCACUUCCAUCAAAGAGGUGCCAGAAAAUGCCACAGAAGGAGGGAGCUGCAAGCUUCAAACUACUGCUGACUUCUAAUUAGGUUUGGCUGCAGAAGGCAUUGGUAUUUAUGGGGCGUCUGAGACCUUAUCUCAGACAGUUCAUGGUCUCCAACCUGGAUCCGGCUGUCUCCACAGCAGAUGCAGCAAUUGAUUCAAGGUCCUUCAGAGGUUCCAGCAAAUGUAGGACAGAGCUCUCCCUCGGUUCUAGUCCUAUUUCUGGGUGUCCCUUCGAAGUCUCUGGACCUCUUUCCACCAAGAGUCCUCGGACCAACUGUGCAGCAGCUUCACUGGUCCAAUACCUACUGUGUGAAGUGUCCGUGAGGAUCCAAGCCCUUCCUCAUGAUGCUCCCUUGGUGGAGUUACCACCUCCCUGGCUGAGAUUUGGAGCUCUGAUCACAACUGCCCCAAUUUUGCAUUCUUGCAGCCUGAGAGAGAGCAGCUGCUUGCUGUGUUAAUAACGUUGGUAUUAUUUCACCGUCCCCAUUGCUCUCCCUGCCUUUCUUGCAUUUUAAUGAACACCC
This 979-nucleotide long non-coding RNA is filed under the name Heterocephalus glaber (naked mole-rat). Its description in RNAcentral is "lncRNA (ENSHGLG00000041718.1)". The record is from RNAcentral. Lineage: Eukaryota; Metazoa; Chordata; Mammalia; Rodentia; Bathyergidae.